This 809-nucleotide ribosomal RNA is filed under the name uncultured bacterium. RNAcentral's name for it is "bacterial SSU rRNA". It matches the Rfam family "Bacterial small subunit ribosomal RNA", at positions 48 to 851 of the family's 1533-position model. The record is from RNAcentral.
UUAACACAUGCAAGUCGAGCGGGGAAGGGUAGCUUGCUACCUGACCUAGCGGCGGACGGGUGACUAAUGCUUAGGAAUCUGCCUAUUAGUGGGGGACAACAUUCCCAAAGGAAUGCUAAUACCGCAUACGCCCUACGGGGGAAAGCAGGGGAUCUUCGGACCUUGCGCUAAUCCAUGAGCCUAGGUCAGAUUAGCUAGUUGGUGGGGUAAAGGCCUACCAAGGCGACAAUCUGUUCCGAGUCUGAGAGGAUGAUCCGCCACACUGGGACUGAAACACGGCCCAGACUCCUACGGGACGCAGCAAUGCGAAAUAUUGUACAAUGGGCGAAAUCCUAAUCCAGCCAUGCCGCGUGUGUGAAGAAGGCCUUUUGGUUGUAAAGCACUUUAAGCGAGGAGGAGGCUACUUGGAUUAAUACUCUAGGAUAGUGGACGUUACUCGCAGAAUAAGCACCGGCUAACUCUGUGCCAGCAGCCGCGGUAAUACAGAGGGUGCGAGCGUUAAUCGGGUUUACUGGGCGUAAAGCGUGCGUAGGCGGCUUUUUAAGUCGGAUGUGAAAUCCCUGAGCUUAACUUAGGAAUUGCAUUCGAUACUGGGAAGCUAGAGUAUGGGAGAGGAUGGUAGAAUUCCAGGUGUAGCGGUGAAAUGCGUAGAGAUCUGGAGGAAUACCGAUGGCGAAGGCAGCCAUCUGGCCUAAUACUGACGCUGAGGUACGAAAGCAUGGGGAGCAGACAGGAUUAGAUACCCUGGUAGUCCAUGCCGUAAACGAUGUCUACUAGCCGUUGGGGCCUUUGAGGCUUUAGUGGCGCAG